This 380-nucleotide ribosomal RNA is filed under the name uncultured eukaryote. RNAcentral's name for it is "partial 18S ribosomal RNA". It matches the Rfam family "Eukaryotic small subunit ribosomal RNA", at positions 592 to 976 of the family's 1831-position model. The record is from RNAcentral.
CAAUAGCGUAUAUUAAAGUUGUUGCGGUUAAAAAGCUCGUAGUUGGAUUUCUGCUGAGGAUGACCGGUCCGCCCUCUGGGCAGGUAUCUGGCUCAGCCUUGGCAUCUUCCUGAAGAACGCAGCUGCACUUGACUGUGUGGUGCGGUAUUUAGGACAUUUACUUUGAGGAAAUUAGAGUGUUUCAAGCAAGCGCACGCCUUGAAUACAUUAGCAUGGAAUAAUAAGAUAGGACCUCGGUUCUAUUUUGUUGGUUUCUAGAACUGAGGUAAUGAUUGAUAGGGAUAGUUGGGGGCAUUCGUAUUUAACUGUCAGAGGUGAAGUUCUUGGAUUUGUUAAAGACGGACUACUGCGAAAGCAUUUGCCAAGGAUGUUUUCAUUGA